This 4428-nucleotide long non-coding RNA is filed under the name Sus scrofa (pig). RNAcentral's name for it is "lncRNA (ENSSSCG00000063279.1)". The record is from RNAcentral. Lineage: Eukaryota; Metazoa; Chordata; Mammalia; Artiodactyla; Suidae.
AACAUUGAUUGGAUACCUACUCUGCAAGACAGUGUCAAGUACCUUUCUUUUCCCAAUCUUAAAAAGACAAAAAGGAGAAACACUCUGAAGAUAGAACUUAAUAACAUCUUCUUUUAUGAAUGAAGACACUAAGGUUCAAAGACAUAAAUAAGGUGCCCAAGGCCAAAAACUAGCAAAGGACUACUGAAAUCUGAUUCCAGAGAUGCUGUUUUCCCUGGUCUAUUCCUCAGUGUAAUAGAUAUUUCUAGCUAUUUAUUUUGAUGCCAAGGAAUUUUCUAUACACAAGCCUUGCAUUUAGAAGCUUUAUUUUAGAAAAAAAAAAUUCAUUCUGACAUAUUCCAAAUCUGGAACUAUAUACCAGAAGAGUAUCCGUUUUAUUCACCAAUCCCAGGACCUUAAUACAAUCGUGUUUUUGGUUUCAGGAUUACACACUGAAAGGCAGUGUGGAACAGAGAGAAAAUAUAACACAGUAAUGGACACUAGCAGAUCAAGAUUUGGAUCUCAAAUCUGCCAAAGACUAGCAGUAAGAUCUUGGCAAAUUACCUAACUUCUUUAGACCUCAAUUUCCAUUCCAUAAUCAAGAUGAUCUCGAAGGUGUCUUCCAGUUCUAGAAGUUAUCUAUACAUUUUUAACAGUCUGUCAUAAGAAAAGUGAUUUUCAAUUAUUCAUUCAACACAGAAUUGUACCUUCUUUUAAAAAGCCCUUAGGAAAAUAAAUGUGUUGUCUUAUGUUCCCCCGAUACGAUGGACUGAUACUAACAUAUUUAAAGGAUCUACAUAAGAAUUACUUUUGUUUAGAAAGAGUUUAGGUGAAACUAUUUUGCUUCAGAUCAAGUGAUAGGAAAAUAAAUUUGCCUCUAAGAGGAAGAACAACAAUGAGAACGCUAUUGAGAUAAAGCUUCAAGUAUCAAAUUAUGGUCACGUUAGGGGUGGAGUCAGUGUGUCCACCUGUUUGUAUCAAGAUUCAGGCCUGUAGGCAAGAGCCUAAGAAAAUGUUAUAGCUGAAUCAUUAAUCCAUCAUUAUGCAACUUAUGGAAAGUAAUUAGCUAAGGACUUGUUCACAGUUGAGAUAGGUACAAAAUAUAAUUUCCUUUAAAUUAAGAAGGAAAUUUAGGUCAAGCACUCUGAGUUCAUUUAUUUAUGCACUUCCACGUAAAGGUUUUGAAUUAGAAGCUAUCCCUCACCAUUAUCUCACAUAGACAAACUUUUGUUUCCUUUUGGAAGAAAGCAAAUCUUUAUAGAGACCAUUUGAAGUCUCAUAAUUGCAGAAAGAAAAUUGGAUGUGCCCUAUGAGACAAUUAGCACCUACUAGUUUAACCUCCACAAUUAAUGAAUGACGGCUUAACUACCUUGCGCUUAAAUUCUGGGGAGGAUUAAACGAGUUUUCCGAAGAGGAUUUUUUUUCUUUUUUUAAGAAAAAUCAUUGAUAAAUGUAGUCUCUUAGUGAGCUAUGUCCAUGUGUUUUGUUUUGUUUUCAUCGUCUUGGAAACUUCACACUCACAAAUUCUCCCAAAAAGUUUAAAAGUGACCCUCCCUCCUGUGUGGCUGUUCUGUCAUUCACAUUCAGAAUCAGUGGGGAUUUCCAAUAAAGGCCGCAUUGACCGCAGAGAACAAUGUUGCUAGAUUGUGCAGAUUGCAUGUGGGGAAAUAAAAUACUCAUGAAAAUUGCCUUCUUGAAGUGAAUGUCAGCAUUUCUAAGUUUGAUUUUUAUUUUAUUUCACAGUCAAUUUUUUUUUUCUGCAAGAAAGCAUUCCUAAUAGAAGUCAGUGAUAGAAAGAUGCUUGAUUUUUUUUGCAUUUCUGGCAUACAUUUCUUUCAUAAUUUUAAUCAAGUUAAAAAGAAUCAAUUGCUUCUAAAUGAAGUUGUAAAUAUUACUGAUGCAAAAAAAAAAAAGAAUCAAUCUACUAAGACUGGUGGGAUGCAAGGGGAAGAGAGCAUAUUUUUUGUUAUGUGAUCUCAUUAAGCAUUACAUUGGCAUUUUUUUCUUAGUUAGUGGUAUUUUUUCUUAGUUAUUAUGAUCCAUUCAGUUGUGUCUCAUUCCAUCACUGCUGACUUGCUCUUGUGUGUUUAUGACUUGAAACUGCGCAUUUGAGGAGAAGCCAAGAAAUCUUGAUGAAAUAUUUAAUCUCAUCAAAGAUUAUCAUCUUUCCCCUACCUUGGUAACCUAUUUAUACCACUUUGCUAUUAAAAAUAUAUAUAUAUAUAUUAUUUUUGGUCACAAGGAAUAUAUUUAAGUCAAGUUCCCUUAACAGUUGCUGUCAAUGUCAUUUUGUCAGCCUGUCCAGUUGUAGCACCACACAAGAACAAAAAAUAAAGGUAUAGGUGCUUCCCUGGUGGGAUUUGGUGGAGUGAUAUUUUUUACUUGAACUGGAAAAGAAGAUUAAGCAAAUCCCCUGAUCAGUUUGGACAAAUUAUGAUUUGAACUUUGUUUGUUUGUUUCUUUCUUUCUUUCUAAUCAGGAAUAAUGCUGUAUCAAAGUUCUGAUUUUCCUACUUUACACAUUUCAGUAGAAAAUACGUCAUCUUUUGUCUUUCAUGCCCCCUUUGCCACCAAGGUGAAAGCGGCAUUGCUCUAAUUGGCUACCAGCGGUUCAUUCAGGGAGGCUGCCUGGUUAAGUCACUGUGGAGCGUUUGUAGAAGACAGCAUCCCCCUUGACCUUGUAAAAGGUAAAGGAGGUCAGACAUGGGUUCAACAGAGGCACUCUCUCGCCAAGGAGACUGGCAUGACAAAGUAAUCAUUGUGUGUCACUUUUCAUUAAUCACACCACUUUCCUUUUCAUAAACUACCAGCAGAUAAUUGUUACUAAAUGUGAUUUGCAACACUCCAUGCCUUGGUUGAAGAACCAGAAAUAGGCAAACAGAUAAAAACAUUGUUUAGCUUGCAGGCAAGCAAGUGUUUGCUAUUCAGAGGUACAUCAUGCAUAAACAUUGAUUUAGCCAUGAGCUGACACUUAUAAAGCUUUUGCUGCUUCCAGAAAGCCCUGUGGUCAGGCUAAGUAAUAGCCAAGGGCAAGCACUUUUACCUGUAUGGCAAGGUUGCAUUCUAUUUAAAUUGCCUGAUCUGAAAUAAAUCAGUUUCCCUAAUGUUAGAUGGCUGCACGAUUGCCAUUGGUGAGAAUCAAGAGUGUUAAAUAAAAUGUUUGCCUUUAUGGUGAAAGACUCCUAGAGGGCAGUUUGUUGAUUUUGAAUAAAUAUUUCAUUAAGUCCGAGGGGCUGCACAUAAUUUGGUAGCUGAGGAUUUAUUUAAAUCAAUGUAGAUUUCCACCUUGCUUUAAUAAAAGUUACAUUUAUGCACAACCAACAAAACUUAAAAAAAAAAAUCAGGGCUUCUUGAUAUUUAAACCCCUCCAAAGUAAUUGAUAGUACUUUCAAAUGUGCAGGUGGGUUUGGUACAGGAUGAGCUGUGGUCUCCUACCCCUGGGUUCAUUAUAGGAAGCAGCCUAGUUCUGUACAGUCUGCUCAGGUCAGUGGUCCUGAGCAUAGAAUACAUGUGCAGCAUAUCCCAAACUGAUGCUAUGGAAAUUUUGCUGGACACAUUGAAGCAAGUCCAUAGUGCAACACUUCUCUCCCCAUAACACCAUAGUGCAACUGUGGUGUUAUUAGCUCAACACUGUCAAUAAGCCAUGACAGCAAAGAGAAGACAAUCAGUGCUGAAGAUGGACACAGCAGGAGAGGGGAACCAGGACUGUGGUCCUUGUUUUCAGACUCUUCCUUGCUCUUGCUCAUUCUGUUUUCUCUCUUUCAGUCAUUAUGAUUUCAUCUCAGUUCUAAGAUGCGUGACUGCCUUAUUUGAUAUUUAGAUGCCUAAACACAAUCGACAAAUUCGAUAUUGACAAUCUGUACCAACACCAAAGAGGGUCUUUAGGAGAAAAUGUGUUUAAAUUGAAAAAAAAAAAAUAAAACUUUUUUUUUUCCUAAAAAUAAAAAUAAGGGAAGGCAGAUUAUCAAACCCAACUUCUCAAAGUUUUAUCAGUGGAUAAUAUGCUUGUCAAACAAAACAUAAUAUGUAGAGGGGGGGAAAUCAUAUUUUGGUAGAAUAGAAAAAGUAAUUUGAUCAGAUCCAAACAGAUUUCUUAUUUAUUAGGUUGAGUUAUUUUCUUACAUAAAAUCUAUUUUGCCAAUAGUUUGUUGAUUCUGAAAAAGUGUUUUCACAAAGCAUAUGAAAGUAAGAAUCAGCAACAAUAAUGCAUAAUAUGGAUUUAUAAAAUCACAGUAUACUCACUGCUAAAAUGAGUCCCCAUUGCAUAUGCAGAAAUAGUCUUAUAUUUUUAUGGAUCUCAAUUUCAUCAGGUGCUCAUGUCUUUUAUCAUGAUAACUUCGGUGGUCAUUAAUCUUUAUCAUUAGUUUUUAGACACUGGUCACGUUUAGAGCAGUUAGCAUCUCAUGAAACAAACAUGCUGCAUGAUUGUAAGCAUAACUCUUCCCCAUCU